GGACAUCUCCCCUCACGGGUGUGAGGGACAUCUCCCCUCAGAGGUGGGUGUGAGGGACAUCUCCCUCAGAGAUAUAAACUUCACUGGAGAAGUGAUGACGCUGAAGUCUCAGGACAGAAAUCUUCCAAAAUCCCCUUCCUAUUAUAGCAAGAUCGAGGAAUAAAGAAGAGUGUUUGCUCGUAGGUGGUGGAGUCAUUGUUAAAAAAGGCAUAUUUGUGUGUAGGCUUGUUGUUUAAUAUUCACCUGGCCCCUGUGAUGUCGCGGCUCUCCUCGCUCUGGGUGGAGAUGCAGUUCUCACCUCUCCCGUGCAAAACCCGGCCCGGUGCCCCUGUGCAGCAUAUCCAGUCAGGGUGACCAGAAAUGAGCUCUGUCAUACAAGGUUAUUUCCCCUGUCAGCAAAAUGGGCAAGUUUUUCUCACAUACAUUAUUUUCCCAAGAGUUCUUCUUGCUAUUUGGCUCUGAGGAUCCUUGUCCUUAAAUGAGUGAUGCUUUCUUCCAAGAUACCCGCACUGAGCAUUUUUAACACUUCACUAAAGCGGUGUUAUUGUCAGAGACCCAUCAGGAUGUGCAGCUGUGUGACUCAUUCUUGACUCCGGGCCUCACAAAAUUUUCAGUUGAGGCACUAUCUGUACUCAACUUCCAUUAAAAAGGAGGUGCCUUAUUAGCUGAAGUCUGAUUUUUUUGUCAGGUUUCUAAAGUUCCAUUAAACCUUGCAAGAUGGCACAGGCCAAGAAAUGAGAAAAAAUCCUUUUGUAUACAGUUGUCCUGGCAGUGUUUUACAGGUUGUUUUCUUUUGCUGUUUUGAGAAAUCAUUCAAUAAUGCACCGUGCAUUUGGGUGUAAUGAAAAGGCCUUGCACUUUAUAUAAGGUUCAAAUCAACAAGAUUAUAGGGUGGACCUCACCACGAAAGCACAAAUGGGAAUGAGCACCUGAAUUCUUGCUGAGUUUUAUAGGAACCAAGCACUGCACUGAAUGAAGCCUGAGAGCCGUCUCUCCACGAGCCCUAGAAGUUAGAUGGCACUAAGGAAAGAUUUGCGAGUUACACUGAGUAGUUUAAAAAAAAAAACCAACACCACCACUCUCAAAGAAUGACAGUAUUUUGACAUCUUGGAAUAAAAUUACACUUAAAAUCUUCACCAAUGUCUUACCAAACCGAUUCCAGUUAAAACUGAAUUCACAACAGAAAGCGAAACUCUUGAUAACUAACUGCUGGGAAAAAAAAUGUUUAAUAGAUUCAGACAUGGUAUAAUUGAGACAUUUGUACCAUUUUCUCUAGAAAUUAUAUGGCCGUAUGAUAUAUAGACUAAAAAAGACUACUGAGUUAUUAAGGCUUUUAAGAAGUUCCCUCUUUUUUAUCUGUAGGUUUUAUCAAAACAAAAUGGGAAACUUGGGUUGUAAAAGCUGUUGAGAAACUUUGCCAUAGGCAUAUGAGUGUCUCUUUUGAGAUUAGAAAAUCAAAGUUAACAGUCCCUGAGAUUCUAGUCUGCAUCCUGGAGUGCUGAGUCCUUUCCCGCCCUGAUCCCACGGCCUGGCAUGAAAACAAGGCCAGAAUAGUCCUGUGGUCUUGGAGAAGACCUCUUACUUGGUUUGUGGUUUAUUAUAUAUUCUGUGGUAUAGGGAGGAGGAAAAAUAAGAGCCUUUUCACAAAUAGACUGGAACGGUGUGGAUGUUUAUACAAAUAAAAUAUGUUUUUUCUGUGCUUUCAAUAAUA
Long non-coding RNA from Harpia harpyja (harpy eagle), 1711 nucleotides. RefSeq lists it as uncharacterized. The transcript is spliced from 2 exons. Lineage: Eukaryota; Metazoa; Chordata; Aves; Accipitriformes; Accipitridae. The record is from RefSeq and is a predicted model, not a curated record.